This 71-nucleotide transfer RNA is filed under the name Erromyzon kalotaenia. Its description in RNAcentral is "tRNA-Ser". The record is from RNAcentral. Lineage: Eukaryota; Metazoa; Chordata; Actinopteri; Cypriniformes; Gastromyzontidae.
CGAGAAAGGGAGGAGUUGAACCCCCAUAUGCUGGUUUCAAGCCAGCCACAUAACCACUCUGCCACUUCCUU